This is a long non-coding RNA of Oncorhynchus keta (chum salmon), 484 nucleotides long. RefSeq lists it as uncharacterized. The record is from RefSeq and is a predicted model, not a curated record. NCBI's taxonomy places the organism in Eukaryota, Metazoa, Chordata, Actinopteri, Salmoniformes, Salmonidae. The transcript is spliced from 3 exons.
ACGGUCAGUGUGUCAUGGAAAGAGCAGGUGUUCUUAAUGUUUUGUACGGUCAGUGUGUCAUGGAAAGAGCAGGUGUUCUUAAUGUUUUGUACGGUCAGUGUGUCAUGGAAAGAGCAGGUGUUCUUAAUGUUUUGUACGGUCAGUGUGUCAUGGAAAGAGCAGGUGUUCUUAAUGUUUUGUACGGUCAGUGUGUCAUGGAAAGAGCAGGUGUUCUUAAUGUUUUGUACGGUCAGUGUGUCAUGGAAAGAGCAGGUGUUCUUAAUGUUUUGUACGGUCAGUGUGUCAUGGAAAGAGCAGGUGUUCUUAAUGUUUUGUACGGUCAGUGUGUCAUGGAAAGAGCAGGUGUUCUUAAUGUUUUGUACGGUCAGUGUGUCAUGGAAAGAGCAGGUGUUCUUAAUGUUUUGUAUGGCCAGUGUAUGUUUACUUCAUGUAUUGCAUGCCUAAAAUGUUGACUGUUGGAAUCAAAUGAGUUAAAGGCUCAUGA